ACUACGGGUGGCAGCAGUGAGGAAUAUUGGUCAAUGGGCGCGAGCCUGAACCAGCCAAGUAGCGUGAAGGAUGACUGCCCUACGGGUUGUAAACUUCUUUUAUAAAGGAAUAAGGUGAGGCACGUGUGCCUUUUUGUAUGUACUUUAUGAAUAAGGAUCGGCUAACUCCGUGCCAGCAGCCGCGGUAAUAAGGAGGAUCCGAGAGUUAUCCGGAUUUAUUGGGUUUAAAGGGAGCGUCGAUUGGUUGUUAAGUCAGUUGUGAAAGUUUGCGGCUCAACCGUAAAAUUGCAAUUGUUACUGGCAGUCUUGAGUACAGUUGAGGUAGGCGGAAUUCGUGGUGUAGCGGUGAAAUGCUUAGAUAUCACGAAGAACUCCGAUUGCGAAGGCAGCUUACUAAACUGCCACUGACAUUGAUGCUCGAAAGUGUGGGUAUCAAACAGGAUUAGAUACCCGAGUAGUC
This 460-nucleotide ribosomal RNA is filed under the name uncultured bacterium. RNAcentral describes it as "partial 16S ribosomal RNA". It matches the Rfam family "Bacterial small subunit ribosomal RNA", at positions 338 to 795 of the family's 1533-position model. The record is from RNAcentral.